GAAAUGCGAUAAGUAAUGUGAAUUGCAGAAUUCCGUGAAUCAUCGAAUCUUUGAACGCACAUUGCGCCCUCUGGCAUUCCGGGGGGCAUGCCUGUCCGAGCGUCAUUACGCACCCUCAAGCCCGGCUUGUGUGAUGGGCCCCGGCGUCUCGUUCGCGAGACGGGCCCGAAAGGCAGCGGCGGCGUCGACCCGAUGAGCCCUAGCGUAUGGGGACUUCUGUCACACGUUCGCGGUGCGGACCGGCGCCUGCUUGACUUUUCUGAUUAUCCAGGUUGACCUCGGAUCAGGUAGGGAUACCCGCUGAACUUAAGC
RNAcentral lists this unclassified non-coding RNA (312 nucleotides) under plant metagenome. RNAcentral describes it as "partial contains 5.8S ribosomal RNA, internal transcribed spacer 2, and large subunit ribosomal RNA". The stretch from base 1 to 105 matches the Rfam family "5.8S ribosomal RNA", at positions 50 to 154 of the family's 154-position model. The record is from RNAcentral.